UUGCACGCUGGCGGCAGGCCUAACACAUGCCAGUCGAGCGGAUGAAGGGAGCUUGCUCCUGGAUUCAGCGGCGGACGGGUGAGUAAUGCCUAGGAAUCUGCCUGGUAGUGGGGGAUAACGUCCGGAAACGGGCGCUAAUACCGCAUACGUCCUGAGGGAGAAAGUGGGGGAUCUUCGGACCUCACGCUAUCAGAUGAGCCUAGGUCGGAUUAGCUAGUUGGUGGGGUAAAGGCCUACCAAGGCGACGAUCCGUAACUGGUCUGAGAGGAUGAUCAGUCACACUGGAACUGAGACACGGUCCAGACUCCUACGGGAGGCAGCAGUGGGGAAUAUUGGACAAUGGGCGAAAGCCUGAUCCAGCCAUGCCGCGUGUGUGAAGAAGGUCUUCGGAUUGUAAAGCACUUUAAGUUGGGAGGAAGGGCAGUAAGUUAAUACCUUGCUGUUUUGACGUUACCAACAGAACAAGCACCGGCUAACUUCGUG
RNAcentral lists this ribosomal RNA (483 nucleotides) under uncultured bacterium. RNAcentral describes it as "partial 16S ribosomal RNA". It matches the Rfam family "Bacterial small subunit ribosomal RNA", at positions 30 to 507 of the family's 1533-position model. The record is from RNAcentral.